UACAUGCAAGUCGAACGAUGAAGCUUCUAGCUUGCUAGAAGUGGAUUAGUGGCGCACGGGUGAGUAAGGUAUAGUUAAUCUGCCCUACACAAGAGGACAACAGUUGGAAACGACUGCUAAUACUCUAUACUCCUGCUUAACACAAGUUGAGUAGGGAAAGUUUUUCGGUGUAGGAUGAGACUAUAUAGUAUCAGCUAGUUGGUAAGGUAAUGGCUUACCAAGGCUAUGACGCUUAACUGGUCUGAGAGGAUGAUCAGUCACACUGGAACUGAGACACGGUCCAGACUCCUACGGGAGGCAGCAGUAGGGAAUAUUGCGCAAUGGGGGAAACCCUGACGCAGCAACGCCGCGUGGAGGAUGACACUUUUCGGAGCGUAAACUCCUUUUCUUAGGGAAGAAUUCUGACGGUACCUAAGGAAUAAGCACCGGCUAACUCCGUGCCAGCAGCCGCGGUAAUACGGAGGGUGCAAGCGUUACUCGGAAUCACUGGGCGUAAAGGGCGCGUAGGCGGAUUAUCAAGUCUCUUGUGAAAUCUAAUGGCUUAACCAUUAAACUGCUUGGGAAACUGA
Molecule: ribosomal RNA, 569 nt
Filed under: Campylobacter jejuni
Lineage: Bacteria; Pseudomonadati; Campylobacterota; Epsilonproteobacteria; Campylobacterales; Campylobacteraceae
Description: bacterial SSU rRNA
Rfam family: Bacterial small subunit ribosomal RNA
Source: RNAcentral